UACGUACGAGGCGAGCGUUAUCCGGAAUUACUGGGCGUAAAGCGCGCGCAGGUGGCUUGCUAAGUCGGACGUGAAAUCUCCCGGCCUAACUGGGAGGGGUCGUCCGAGACUGGCCGGCUUGAGGCUGGCAGAGGUAGGUGGAAUUCCUGGUGUAGUGGUGAAAUGCGUAGAGAUCAGGAGGAACACCGGUGGCGAAGGUGGCCUACUGGGCCAGCACUGACGCUGAGGCGCGAAAGCUCGGGGAGCGAACGGG
RNAcentral lists this ribosomal RNA (253 nucleotides) under uncultured bacterium. Its description in RNAcentral is "partial 16S ribosomal RNA". It matches the Rfam family "Bacterial small subunit ribosomal RNA", at positions 524 to 776 of the family's 1533-position model. The record is from RNAcentral.